RNAcentral lists this ribosomal RNA (810 nucleotides) under uncultured bacterium. Its description in RNAcentral is "bacterial SSU rRNA". It matches the Rfam family "Bacterial small subunit ribosomal RNA", at positions 79 to 885 of the family's 1533-position model. The record is from RNAcentral.
AAUCUCGUGCUGACGAGCGGCGGACGGGUGAGUAACGCGUAGGAAUCUACCUAGUAGAAGGGGAUAGCCCGAGGAAACUCGGAUUAAUACCGUAUACGUCCUUAGGGAGAAAGAGGGCUGAGCUUGAUGCUCUCGCUAUUAGAUGAGCCUGCGUAAGAUUAGCUUGUUGGUGAGGUAAAGGCUCACCAAGGCUACGAUCUUUAGCUGGUCUGAGAGGACGAUCAGCCACAUUGGGACUGAGACACGGCCCAGACUCCUACGGGAGGCAGCAGUGGGGAAUAUUGGACAAUGGGCGCAAGCCUGAUCCAGCCAUACCGCGUGUGUGAAGAAGGCUUUCGGGUUGUAAAGCACUUUAAGUGAGGAAGAAAAGAUAAUAGUUAAUACCUGUUAUCCGUGACAUUACUCACAGAAUAAGGACCGGCUAAUUCCGUGCCAGCAGCCGCGGUAAUACGGAAGGUCCAAGCGUUAAUCGGAAUUACUGGGCGUAAAGCGCGCGUAGGUGGUUUAUCAAGUUGGUUGUGAAAGCCCCGGGCUUAACCUGGGAACUGCAGCCAAAACUGAUUCACUAGAGUACGAAAGAGGAAAGUAGAAUUCACAGUGUAGCGGUGGAAUGCGUAGAUAUUGUGAAGAAUACCAAUUGCGAAGGCAGCUUUCUGGUUCUGUACUGACACUAAGGUGCGAAAGCGUGGGGAGCGAACAGGAUUAGAUACCCUGGUAGUCCACGCCGUAAACGAUGACAACCAGCUGUUGGGAAGCAAUGCUUUUCAGUGGCGCAGCUAACGUCUUAAGUUGUCCGCCUGGGGAGUACGG